GAAGUGGCAGCAGCCAGAGAGGGAGUCGGUGUGGACGCGAGAAGCCGGGCACUUAGAACAGAGGCUCGCACAGGUGGAGAUGUGGAAGUCUGUAGUGGGCCAUGAUGUGUCUGUUUCCGUGGAGACCCAGGGUGAUGAUUGGGACACAGAUCCUGACUUUGUGAAUGACAUCUCUGAAAAGGAGCAACGAUGGGGAGCCAAGACCAUCGAGGGCUCUGGACGCACAGAACACAUCAACAUCCACCAGCUGAGGAACAAAGUUUCAGCGGAGCAUGAUGUUCUCAAGAAGAAAGAGAUGGAGUCAGGGCCCAAAGCAUCCCAUGGCUAUGGAGGACGGUUUGGAGUAGAAAGAGACCGAAUGGACAAGAGUGCAGUGGGCCAUGAGUAUGUUGCCGAGGUGGAGAAGCACUCUUCUCAGACGGAUGCUGCCAAAGGCUUUGGGGGCAAGUACGGAGUUGAGAGGGACAGGACAGACAAGACAGGACAGUGGAUGCUGUGAGGACCUGACACCAUCACAAAGAUACCUCCCUCAGCAAGUUCCUUGGUGCCAGUGUUGGAAGCCACAUGCUGAGCUGAAAGACAGUGAUUCAAAUAAGGAGAAGACUUUCAAACUGUGUGUUUGAAUGAAUAAUUCCUCAAGCCACUGGUUUUUAUUAUACUCAUAUGCAUGAAGAUAGAACAGAGAAUCGUCUAAGCUCUUCUUUUGGCUUAACAUCAGAACCUUAUAAAUACUCAUGCCGUUUAGGAAAACAGAGUCAUCAGUUUAAAUAUUAUUGCCAUGGAAGCAGAUAAUCCAGUUAAACAACUAAUUAGGGUUACUAUUUACAGAAUUUAGCGUCAAUCUAUGAAGUCCAGAUAUCUUUAAAGACUCCUUUGUACAAAACAAAACAAAAUGUUGUUUUAAAGAGAAAAAAAAGUACCGUAUGAUUACAAUAUCAUAUUGUUGACAGGAGAGUAAGAUUGAUAACUCAUUGAUGUUUUUAGUUUCAUGCCUUGUUAGGUCGGAUUCUUUGAACUCAUUUUUUAUGGCGCAGAAUGGUGUCUCCUACCCUGCAGCUGCACAGAGAGAGGACAUCU
RNAcentral lists this small RNA (1077 nucleotides) under Pongo abelii (Sumatran orangutan). RNAcentral's name for it is "processed transcript". The record is from RNAcentral. Lineage: Eukaryota; Metazoa; Chordata; Mammalia; Primates; Hominidae.